RNAcentral lists this ribosomal RNA (490 nucleotides) under uncultured bacterium. RNAcentral describes it as "bacterial SSU rRNA". It matches the Rfam family "Bacterial small subunit ribosomal RNA", at positions 41 to 525 of the family's 1533-position model. The record is from RNAcentral.
GGCAUNGCUUUACACAUGCAAGUCGAACGGUAACAGGGUGCUUGCNCCGCUGACGAGUGGCGAACGGGUGAGUAAUGCGUCGGAACGUGCCGAGUAGUGGGGGAUAACGCAGCGAAAGUUGUGCUAAUACCGCAUACCUACUGAGGUAGAAAGUGGGGGACCUUCGGGCCUCACGCUAUUCGAGCGGCCGACGUCUGAUUAGCUAGUAGGUGAGGUAAAGGCUCACCUAGGCGACGAUCAGUAGCGGGUCUGAGAGGAUGAUCCGCCACACUGGGACUGAGACACGGCCCAGACUCCUACGGGAGGCAGCAGUGGGGAAUUUUGGACAAUGGGCGAAAGCCUGAUCCAGCCAUGCCGCGUGUCUGAAGAAGGCCUUCGGGUUGUAAAGGACUUUUGUCNGGGAGGAAAUCCCUAGCGUUAAUACCGCUGGGGGAUGACAGUACCUGAAGAAUAAGCACCGGCUAACUACGUGCCAGCAGCCGNGGUAAUA